AGCCGGGGAAGUAGCGGAGUCCUGCACCUGCAAUCCGCUUUAGCAGGGGUGAUGACGAUUUGAGGGUUUGCUUUUGUGAAGCUGCCCUUUAUAAGCGGCGUUGACGUUUGGGUCUUACGCAUCAUAGCUCUAUGAACCGUGUCAGGUCAGGAAUGAAGCAGCACUAAGUAGAUGUCUGUGAGUGACGUAAGGGCGCCUGGAUUGAGUUGGCUGUAGAGGUAACGUUCAUGAGACAAUCUCG
RNAcentral lists this signal recognition particle RNA (241 nucleotides) under uncultured Eubacterium sp. Its description in RNAcentral is "Bacterial large signal recognition particle RNA". It matches the Rfam family "Bacterial large signal recognition particle RNA". Rfam says of the family: The signal recognition particle (SRP) is a universally conserved ribonucleoprotein involved in the co-translational targeting of proteins to membranes. Archaeal SRP consists of a 7S RNA and homologues of the eukaryotic SRP19 and SRP54 proteins. The record is from RNAcentral. Lineage: Bacteria; Bacillati; Bacillota; Clostridia; Eubacteriales; Eubacteriaceae.